GAAAUAACUGAGCGCGGUGAAAGCCGCGCAUUCAUUCAAGCUGGUGAAGCCUGGAGGCUCAAUCGGGAUUCAGCAGCAGCGGCGGCAGCAGCAGCGCUGCCAGAAGAUAAAGGAGGGGAAAAGUGAGACAGAAAGACAGGAGGGAAUAGCAGGAAAGAAAAAUAAGAGGAGUUGCGCGCCGGAUUGGAGCAGUUAUUUCAUUCAACAACAACAAAACAUGCGAUGGAGGAUUUGUUUUACGCAUGAGAACUCCUCUGAACUAAGACCUCCAGCCUUUAUUCACAAUUCACCUGAACAUCAUCAAAUUUCGCGGAUACGUCGAGGGCACCGGACCUACCCAGGGGUGUAGCCGCGGUGCUUCUGGUGCGUCUUUUUGCGCUGGUGGAGACUGUGAGCGAGGGCGCGCGCGCGCGUGUGUGUGUUUGAGAGAGAAGUGGUGGUGGUGGAGGAUCAGCCGGAGUGGCCGAACAGCCUGAAGGAUGCUGGAGGGCAAUGCCUGCAGAAAGAGAGGAUGAGAUUUGUCGAAAGGCGCUGGAGCUGCUCUCCGACCUGUGCUCCAAGGGGGAGGUGCAGGACGACCACUGCCUGGAUUUCAUCUACUACUUCAGGGACCUGGCCAGACCGCGCUACACGGACUCAGAUGUAUCGGUGAGCCUGUUGUCCCUGCUGGUGACCACCUGUGGUCUGGCUUUGUUCAGCGUCUCUCUCUUUGUCUCAUGGAAGUUAUGCUGGGUGCCCCUGAGUGGCCGCUUCCUCCCAGAUGUCCUCAAGGGGGCGCACUUUCUGGGAGGGGACCAACAGCCCGUCCUCACAGAGGUGGACGGGGACGAAAGGGAGUACAGCGAGGAUGGCUGUGUGAAGGAGCCUUCAGGACCCCUCUCGGCUGUGGCUGUCCCAGAGUCAGGCCUAAAGAUAAGCCACACGUCUCCUGACAUCCCACUGGAGACCCAGACCAAGGUGGAGAAAAACCAGUUCCACACUCUGGCCAGGGACAGGGUCCAGAGACAGAUAACUGAGCCUACUUCGUCUGUACGGCACAACUCCAUCCGACGUCAGAUGAACUUGUCUAAUCCGGACUUCAACCCUGCUCAGUUCCAGCGCCAAGAGUCACUAUCUGGUUUGGGCCGAAUCAAACCAGAACUCUACAAGCAGCGAUCCGUGGACGCAGAAGAUGGCCGUCACCCCGACGGCUGUGGGCGUCUCCUCUUCGUCCUGAAGUUUGACUUUGACCUGGAGCAGCUGAUCGUGAAGAUCCACAAGGCCCAGGACCUUCCCGCCAAGGACUUCUCAGGGACUUCCGAUCCUUACGUCAAGAUCUACCUGCUGCCCGACCGCAAAACCAAACACCAGACCAAGGUGCACCGCAAGACACUCAACCCGGUGUUCGAUGAGGUGUUUCUCUUUCCUGUGGCGUACGCCGAGCUGUCGAGCCGCAAGCUGCAUUUCAGUGUCUACGACUUUGACAGGUUCUCUCGCCAUGACUUGAUUGGCCAAGUGGUGGUGGACAACUUCCUGGAUCUUGCUGACUUUCCACGGGAGACUAAACUGUGCCGGGACGUACAAUACGUGACCUCGGACAAUGUGGACCUAGGAGAGCUGAUGUUCUCAUUGUGCUAUCUCCCCACGGCUGGCAGGCUCACCAUCACCAUGAUCAAAGCCAGAAAUCUCAAAGCCAUGGACAUCACUGGAGCUUCAGAUCCGUAUGUGAAAGUGUCCCUGAUGUGUGAAGGCCGGAGGCUAAAGAAGAGGAAGACGUCAACCAAGCGUAACACUCUGAACCCUGUGUACAAUGAAGCCAUUGUGUUCGAUGUUCCUCCUGAGAACAUCGACCAGAUCAGCCUGCUCAUAGCUGUCAUGGACUAUGAUCGGGUCGGACAUAAUGAAGUGAUCGGGGUGUGCAGGGUGGGCAACGAGGCGGAGAGCCUGGGGCGAGACCACUGGAACGAGAUGCUGUCAUACCCACGGAAACCCAUUGCACACUGGCACCCACUCAUAGAGUGGGUCGGACAAGGAGCGGUGGGGAGUGGAAGCCAAGGAGGAUCCACCAAUUCCCUCAAGACACCACCAUCCCCAUGACCGCACACACCCACACACACACACACACACACACACACACACACACACGCACACACACAGCCUCAGGGUGGUGGAACGAUAGAUGUCCUGCAGAUAGUCGUAGUGAAAUGUUAAAAAAUAUAGUGUGGCUAACAAGCGACUGCAGUAGAAGCAUCAGCUAAAAGCUAUUACUCAAGCUGGCGUGUCAUUAGAUUGAAAAACUUUAGUUUGCUAAGACCGCUGUAAAAGCCAAUCCCCACUUCUUUCUUUCCUUCAUCACAACCAAAAAUCACUUUAACUACAUUCCAACUGAUCUACUACAGUGCUUUCAUUUGUCAUUUCUGAGCUGUUGCUGGCGGCAUUAACAGGUUGAGAUUAUCUAACAGAUCGAGCUUUUGUAACAAAUCUCAGUUUUGUGGACCAAAAAUCAUUCAUUUCUAGGCCGUGAUUGUGAUUCGUGUGAGUGAUGAGCUUUCUUAGAUGCAGUAAGAGUUAGACAGGUGCGGUUGCAGAUUUAGAAGUGACAGACAGGGCAUUCCUGUUCAGAUCCACAAUAUUUUAGCUCUCUUUUAACAUUUUGUUUCAUGCAGACAUGAACAAAGCCUUAGUUUUACCUUUACCUGCAACUUUCUCACAGAACACUUCCUGCAAAGAUGUAAAAUGAAGAGGAUUUGCUCCAAGAAUGUGUAAUCUGCCGCCAUCACUCCCGGUCUUUGCAGGUGUUCUCAUUUCCAGUCUCUCAGAUCCAGGUUUACCAGCAGCUGCGGCGCAAUCUGGCAGCAGCAAGCUUAUCAUCACGUAUUCUCCACGCAGUGUUCCCUUGUUCAAUGAUGGUAACCUGCUUUCCACAGUGACUCAUGAUAACUGAUGAACACAUCUUACUAACUGAAAAUAAGGACGUAUGCAUCCAAACUGCAAACCUCAAAGAUGUUUAGGCUAAAGUGGGUGCCAGUAUUGCAGACGGACAAGAAGAGUGCGGAAGAGGAAGUUAUCAAAGGGGGAAGAUAAGAGCUUUGUGGUUAGGGGCCCACAAAGAAAAGGGGGUAGAUUAAAAGCUGAUGUAUUGGGUCCAUUCGCAAUAACAAACAUUGAUGGAAAAAGUGCUGAUCUAAAAACACCAACAGGAAGCCACAUUGAAAGAAUUGACCAUCUAAAGAAAUAUGUGGAACCACAGCCAAGAAUGCCCGCCAAAUGGAUCACUCCUGCUUUCGCUCCUCCUCCAGCACUGCAGCCCAGCCCCUUGAGGUGUCUUAGGGUUCACCAAUCGCCUACUUUCACACAAAGUCCACAAUCAGACCCCUCGUAUUCCAGUCUCCAGUCAUGUAACGCAACCGGCUUUAAACCCUUCAGUCGCCUCAGAUGAAUGUACGGAUCAAUACAAUUUCAGUUUAGUGACGAUUUGGGUGUCCUUAUGGAAAUGGAUGGUUGCAUUUAAUUACAAAUGAGGCCUUGGUAAACAAUGCUGUCUUCUAAUUCUCAGCAAUAGCUGACCUCUGGUCAGGUAAACAGGAAGGUGUGCCAGUGAGCAAAGUUGGACCAUACAAGAUAUUUGCCACAGACCUGCAGAAUCUGGCCACCAGAGGGGAGCUAGAGAGUGAGGCAAAGGCGGUAACAGCUUGCAUUAAGUCUUUCCAUUUACACGCUUAGCAGUUUUUGAUGGCAAAAAAAUGUAAUGCAUUUCAAACCUGACACUGUCGGGUUUCAAAUGCAUUCAUUCAUACCAUCGUUGUGAAGUUACAAGAGAAAAACUUCAGAAAAAGUUGUAUCUCGAUGACUCCUUUAUAAUGGGUGCGAAGUGGCAAGGAUCAUUCAGAGGAUUAAAAAAAGUAACUCUUUUUUAAAAUCUGUUCAUACAUGAUUAAACAUUCAUUCAUUGUUUGUAAUUUUUCAGCUUGACCCAAUGGCCUACAAUGUCCUCAUAGGACAAAUGGUACUGGACAUUUACGUGCUCUAGCUUUUUUUUCUGUCAGUGUGUACCAUCGCAUUCAUUGAAGGGACUUUAAGGAAUGAAUUGCACUUGUCUGAUGUGUUGGAAAACGUGUUAGGACUAUGCAGAGCAUGUGGGAAUGCUUGCCAAAGUCCAGGGAGAAAUAAAGGGUCCAACAUGCAGUGUGUGGUUCCAUUGGAUUUGUAUUUGGAAACCACCAUAGGAGCAGGACUUCUAUUGUCCAGCAUGUACUCUAUAACAGACAACGGACGAGGACGUAUCUGGCUGAAGCUCUCCACCCCUGGCUGCUACCCCGGUCUCUGGGCCUUCAGUACUGUGUUGUGGGUAGAACAUUAUUGUAUGAAUAAAGAUUAUUCUGAUUUUGUAUUCUACUCUUCCUGUGGCUCAGUGUUAGCAAUUAUUUAGUGUGUUUUGACAGUAUUGAUUUUUUGUCACUAUUUAACAGUAUUUAUUUGUCAUGUGUUGCAGGGGGCUGUAAAGCGGUGUAUGGCUGUAGCCUGCAGAAAAAGACAUUGAGAAAUAUGUUCGGGUAUUUUCUAAGAUACAAAGUUGUUUUAGAUCAACCCCAAAAUAAUAAAUGUUACUAAUGUAACAAAAUAAUGUAAUGCUAGGGGCUGACAUAACGUAACAAUACGUAACUAGAAGCAAUUCAACCAUGUACGCUCGGUUGACACAGCAGUGGGCCAAAGAUAUGUGCUGAGAUCUUACUUUUCCAUAAGUGGCUGGGAAUACACGUUAAAGGAAUUCUGAUUGUAACCUCUCUGAUUGACUACAAAAGUCAGAUGUUAGUGGAUAAUUGAUAAAAGAUUUUUGUCAAGUGGGGAAAAGGGCUUUAUAGGAGAACAGCUAGAAUAUUUACAUUUUUUAUCGCAGGUGGUCAUGAUUGCUUCUACUGGAUUGGACGGCUGGACUGGGUGUUGCUCCAAUCACAAACUCCAGAGGUCCUGGCAACAAGUGGGAUGGGCUGUGUCUGGUUUGAACCAGGAUCAUGGAAAAGGAACCAGACAAGACAAAAAAAAAAGUCCCGCCCCCCGGUGUGUAAAGGCCUUGAUCGCUGUGAAUCCAAGGAGACUACAACUUCCAUUCUCUGCUGUAACCCGGCCUACAUUAGAACCUUUUAGAGUCACUCCAGAAGCUGUAUUCCUUCAGGAAGUUGAAUGUGUGCCAUUUUUGGGUGCAACCCAAGAGGAAUCGAAACAUUUUGGACUGAAAAGUUAUCCUGGAGGAAGGUUUACACAACCUGGCAGCCCAAAACACAACAAAAGCAUGAAGAGAACUCUGUUGUGAAGUUUGCAGAUGACGCCACCGUCAUUGGCCUGAUUACAAACGGCGAUGAGACUUCAUAGGAAAGAAAAACAAUCUUGCAGAUCGGUGCUUAGAGAACAUCCUGCUGCUCAACGUCAGUAAAACCAAGGAGCCGAUUGUCGAUUUUAGAAAAAAGGAGGCGAAGACACACAAGUGAACAGUUUUAAGUUCCUGGGAAUCAAUCAGCAUCGCAAACAACCUGUCAUGGUCCUCACAGAUCUCCAUCCUGGUGAAGAAAGCUCGUCAACUCUUUUACAGAGGCGCAAAUGUGCCUUCCUGGCUGGAAACAUUACAAACUGGCGUGGGAUGUGCACGGCUCAGGACAGGAGGGCGCUACAGCGGGGGAAUGCUUGUCUGUUGAAUGACACAGUCUGUGGAUGAAGAUGGAGAAGUGGCAGAGGUUCCACGUCUAUCCUGGUGAACGCCCCACAAUACUUCCUACAAUGCUUACCCAGAACAUCAGGGUCCUUCCAGAUGCGACACGCACAAGAUGGUAAAAUUAAAACAAUGACUAUGGCCAUAAUUCUUACACACACACACACACACACACACACAGUGGAUGUUGGUUUACAUGUUGAUAACAUUAAACUUUUUCUAAAUGCUAUAAUAUUGCUUGUUUUCCUUAUUCCUUUUAUCAUAAACUAUAAAAAACCUUGUUGCGGUACCCUCUUGGCACGUUGUUGCCCUGAGGCAACAAACCCAAAUCUGGCUGGGGGGAAUCAAUUGUUAAACGACUGAACUGUUCACUGCUUCAGGUGGUUUGAAAGGAAACUGAAUGUAUCAUGACAACUGUCACAAAGUGCAUGAUCCUCUGUUUGAUGCUGUCUCUGUAUGGGCUGAAACACGAUGCCCACAACCUAACUGCUGCAAAAACAUCAUUCAAUAUUGAUCAUUAGCAGAUAAAAAGCUAGUGUACUUCAUCUAGCAUCUAUUAUUCAUGGGCAUCCUUUACCCGUGAUAUGCGGGCUGACUUCACAACACUUAAUGUCUCAUUUUAUUGCACAGUUCACUUAAACAGGCGGACAAGAUUUCAGUGCAACAAGUUCACCACAGUAGAUGUGCAAGUUGAGCGAACAAAAUAGAACUCUGGUGUUCAGGGAAAGAGUACUAUGUCAUACUCAAGUAAAAGUACGGUUAAUGUAAAUACAUAUUACUAAAGUAAAAGUACUUGCAUACAAUUUUACCUUUUAUAAAAGUAGGUCAGUUAAAACACUGACCUACACUUAUCCCAUACAGCACUACACAACAAAAAUAAACAUUUUUGGUACAAUGCACACACAUUAAAUGUUCUUGAACAUGAAUGACAACAGAAUCUGAAAAUGCUAAAUGUUAUUAGCUUUGUAGUUCUUUCAUGACACGUUGAUAAAAUCUGAAAACAUUUAGCGUCAAACAAUACAUUUCCUGACUUCUAUACACUCAUAUUAAUGUACAAUUUUUGAUCGUUAUGUACAGAAAUAUUCCAAACAGAUUUACCCACACGGACAACAACUGACGUUCCACAGGUUAGUCACUCAAAAAAAAAAGGAUUUCACUUGAUGCUUCGCUCUUCACGUCCCGCUAGCUUUCUCUGGAGUAGAGUGCCCUCUAGUGGCUUUGGUGGCGACAGCAUUUGUCCCACUGUAUGUAAGUUGAUGUUGUACAAGUCUCUAUUUGGUCAUGUGACAAGACAAAGUAAUACACAAUAGCUUUCUUUUUGACCUCUCUACUUUUCCAAUGUAAUAGACUAUAAGUACAACAUGAGUAGUAAUUACUAGACAUAAUACUGUGCACUUGUGUCUUAACUGCCUUACACACACCUCACCGCUGGAUGAUCCACUUUACAAUGUCAACAUCUAACAUUUUAGCUAGAUUCCAGCCCUGACCCCUAACAAGUAGAUGCCCGUCCAUCAACGUUCAGAGGAAAAUUUUUAUUUUUAUUUUUUUUGAUGUAUCACAAAUACGUUUCAAAUGAGUCCACGAAGGUUUACGUUGGUUGGGAGGUCAGGGUGGUGGAUGGACCACAAACGCGGGGCUUUUAGUCAGGAGACUGUUGCUUGUGUCCCAUGUGAACAGAGUACUUUUGUUGCCUGAACAUAAUCAAAUACUUUUGUGCAGUCAUUUAAAGCCAAACCAGGAUGUUAUUUUACUAGACCCAACAACAUAGCGUCGUGUCCCGUUUUUUUUGUUUUUGUUCCUUAAUCACCCCUAUGAUGACUUCAUCACCAAUUUGCAUUGCUGUGCAUUUUGUGCCAACAUUUAAUUGUUACAGUACCACAACUGAAUUCAUUACUUCAACUCCUGUUAAAGUUACACCCAACAUGCCGUUGUGUCAUGAUCAUCUGUUUGCCUUUUGAUAGUUAAAGGGGGAAUCCACUGAUAUUACAUGUCAAAAUCAAUUUGCUAGUUAAUAGACACUUUACAUAUUCAUUUUUAAUUAUGUCUUGACAUUAUUGUACUGUUUAUUGCUAUUCACCAAUCGCCAAGUCAAAUUCCUUGUAUGUGGAAACUUACUCUGCAAUAAACCGUUUCUGAAUCGUUUCUGAUUCUGAAUGGGUGAAUAAAACUCAAAUUGUAAAAACUGCUGAAUAAUGGC
RNA transcript from Anarrhichthys ocellatus (wolf-eel), 7880 nucleotides. It is a transcript of the gene named synaptotagmin IXb, with no coding region annotated. The record is from RefSeq and is a predicted model, not a curated record. The transcript has 14 exons. NCBI's taxonomy places the organism in Eukaryota, Metazoa, Chordata, Actinopteri, Perciformes, Anarhichadidae.